UGGUUCAAGUCCCUCCAUCCCCA
Molecule: transfer RNA, 23 nt
Filed under: Passiflora adulterina
Lineage: Eukaryota; Viridiplantae; Streptophyta; Magnoliopsida; Malpighiales; Passifloraceae
Description: partial tRNA-Leu
Source: RNAcentral